This 586-nucleotide ribosomal RNA is filed under the name Bacillus subtilis. RNAcentral describes it as "bacterial SSU rRNA". It matches the Rfam family "Bacterial small subunit ribosomal RNA", at positions 147 to 717 of the family's 1533-position model. The record is from RNAcentral. Lineage: Bacteria; Bacillati; Bacillota; Bacilli; Caryophanales; Bacillaceae.
CUCCGGGAAACCGGGGCUAAUACCGGAUGGUUGUUUGAACCGCAUGGUUCAGACAUAAAAGGUGGCUUCGGCUACCACUUACAGAUGGACCCGCGGCGCAUUAGCUAGUUGGUGAGGUAACGGCUCACCAAGGCGACGAUGCGUAGCCGACCUGAGAGGGUGAUCGGCCACACUGGGACUGAGACACGGCCCAGACUCCUACGGGAGGCAGCAGUAGGGAAUCUUCCGCAAUGGACGAAAGUCUGACGGAGCAACGCCGCGUGAGUGAUGAAGGUUUUCGGAUCGUAAAGCUCUGUUGUUAGGGAAGAACAAGUGCCGUUCAAAUAGGGCGGCACCUUGACGGUACCUAACCAGAAAGCCACGGCUAACUACGUGCCAGCAGCCGCGGUAAUACGUAGGUGGCAAGCGUUGUCCGGAAUUAUUGGGCGUAAAGGGCUCGCAGGCGGUUUCUUAAGUCUGAUGUGAAAGCCCCCGGCUCAACCGGGGAGGGUCAUUGGAAACUGGGGAACUUGAGUGCAGAAGAGGAGAGUGGAAUUCCACGUGUAGCGGUGAAAUGCGUAGAGAUGUGGAGGAACACCCAGUGGCG